Molecule: ribosomal RNA, 73 nt
Filed under: Brochothrix thermosphacta
Lineage: Bacteria; Bacillati; Bacillota; Bacilli; Caryophanales; Listeriaceae
Also listed under: 1 other name
Description: partial 23S ribosomal RNA
Source: RNAcentral
AGGUUAAGUUAGAAAGGGCGCACGGUGAAUGCCUUGGCACUAGGAGCCGAUGAAGGACGGGACUAACACCGAU